GACGAACGCUGGCGGCGUGCUUAACACAUGCAAGUCGAACGGAAAGGCUCCAGCUUGCUGGAGUACUCGAGUGGCGAACGGGUGAGUAACACGUGGGUAAUCUGCCCUGCACUCUGGCAUAAGCCUGGGAAACUGGGUCUAAUACUGGAUAUGACCUUUCUCCUUAUGGGGUUUGGUGGAAAGUUUUUCGGUGUAGGAUGAGCCCGCGGCCUAUCAGCUUGUUGGUGGGGUGAUGGCCUACCAAGGCGACGACGGGUAGCCGGCCUGAGAGGGUGAUCGGCCACAUUGGGACUGAGAUACGGCCCAGACUCCUACGGGAGGCAGCAGUGGGGAAUAUUGCACAAUGGGCGGAAGCCUGAUGCAGCGACGCCGCGUGAGGGAUGACGGCCUUCGGGUUGUAAACCUCUUUCAGCAGGGACGAAGCGUAAGUGACGGUACCUGCAGAAGAAGCACCGGCUAACUAUGUG
RNAcentral lists this ribosomal RNA (467 nucleotides) under uncultured bacterium. Its description in RNAcentral is "partial 16S ribosomal RNA". It matches the Rfam family "Bacterial small subunit ribosomal RNA", at positions 28 to 507 of the family's 1533-position model. The record is from RNAcentral.